RNAcentral lists this transfer RNA (62 nucleotides) under Ictidomys tridecemlineatus (thirteen-lined ground squirrel). RNAcentral describes it as "Spermophilus tridecemlineatus (thirteen-lined ground squirrel) tRNA". It matches the Rfam family "tRNA", at positions 5 to 66 of the family's 71-position model. Rfam says of the family: Transfer RNA (tRNA) molecules are approximately 80 nucleotides in length. Their secondary structure includes four short double-helical elements and three loops (D, anti-codon, and T loops). Further hydrogen bonds mediate the characteristic L-shaped molecular structure. tRNAs have two regions of fundamental functional importance: the anti-codon, which is responsible for specific mRNA codon recognition, and the 3' end, to which the tRNAs corresponding amino acid is attached (by aminoacyl-tRNA synthetases). tRNAs cope with the degeneracy of the genetic code in two manners: having more than one tRNA (with a specific anti-codon) for a particular amino acid; and 'wobble' base-pairing, i.e. permitting non-standard base-pairing at the 3rd anti-codon position. Lineage: Eukaryota; Metazoa; Chordata; Mammalia; Rodentia; Sciuridae. The record is from Rfam by way of RNAcentral.
GUGUAGCUCAAUAGUAGAACAUGUACUUGGCAAGUACAGGCCCUGCGUUCAAUUCUCAGCAC